RNAcentral lists this ribosomal RNA (1665 nucleotides) under Vibrio cholerae. Its description in RNAcentral is "partial 23S ribosomal RNA". It matches the Rfam family "Bacterial large subunit ribosomal RNA", at positions 1213 to 2857 of the family's 2925-position model. Lineage: Bacteria; Pseudomonadati; Pseudomonadota; Gammaproteobacteria; Vibrionales; Vibrionaceae. The record is from RNAcentral.
UCUUUUAGAUAUUGGGUAGGGGAGCGUUCUGUAAGCCGUUGAAGGUGAAUCGUAAGGUUUGCUGGAGGUAUCAGAAGUGCGAAUGCUGACAUGAGUAACGACAAAGGGGGUGAAAAACCUCCUCGCCGGAAGACCAAGGGUUCCUGUCCAACGUUAAUCGGGGCAGGGUGAGUCGACCCCUAAGGUGAGGCCGAAAGGCGUAAUCGAUGGGAAACGGGUUAAUAUUCCCGUACUUCUGACUAUUGCGAUGGGGGGACGGAGAAGGCUAGGUGGGCCAGGCGACGGUUGUCCUGGUUCAAGUGCGUAGGCUUGAGAGUUAGGUAAAUCCGGCUCUCUCUAAGGCUGAGACACGACGUCGAGCUGCUACGGCAGUGAAGUCAUUGAUGCCAUGCUUCCAGGAAAAGCCUCUAAGCUUCAGAUAGUCAGGAAUCGUACCCCAAACCGACACAGGUGGUCGGGUAGAGAAUACCAAGGCGCUUGAGAGAACUCGGGUGAAGGAACUAGGCAAAAUGGUACCGUAACUUCGGGAGAAGGUACGCUCUUGAUGGUGAAGUCCCUCGCGGAUGGAGCUGACGAGAGUCGCAGAUACCAGGUGGCUGCAACUGUUUAUUAAAAACACAGCACUGUGCAAAAUCGCAAGAUGACGUAUACGGUGUGACGCCUGCCCGGUGCCGGAAGGUUAAUUGAUGGGGUUAGCGCAAGCGAAGCUCUUGAUCGAAGCCCCGGUAAACGGCGGCCGUAACUAUAACGGUCCUAAGGUAGCGAAAUUCCUUGUCGGGUAAGUUCCGACCUGCACGAAUGGCGUAAUGAUGGCCACGCUGUCUCCACCCGAGACUCAGUGAAAUUGAAAUCGCUGUGAAGAUGCAGUGUACCCGCGGCUAGACGGAAAGACCCCGUGAACCUUUACUACAGCUUGGCACUGAACAUUGAACCUACAUGUGUAGGAUAGGUGGGAGGCUAUGAAGACGUGACGCCAGUUGCGUUGGAGCCGUCCUUGAAAUACCACCCUUGUAUGUUUGAUGUUCUAACUUAGACCCAUUAUCUGGGUUGAGGACAGUGCCUGGUGGGUAGUUUGACUGGGGCGGUCUCCUCCCAAAGAGUAACGGAGGAGCACGAAGGUGGGCUAAUCACGGUUGGACAUCGUGAGGUUAGUGCAAUGGCAUAAGCCCGCUUAACUGCGAGAAUGACGGUUCGAGCAGGUGCGAAAGCAGGUCAUAGUGAUCCGGUGGUUCUGUAUGGAAGGGCCAUCGCUCAACGGAUAAAAGGUACUCCGGGGAUAACAGGCUGAUACCGCCCAAGAGUUCAUAUCGACGGCGGUGUUUGGCACCUCGAUGUCGGCUCAUCACAUCCUGGGGCUGAAGUCGGUCCCAAGGGUAUGGCUGUUCGCCAUUUAAAGUGGUACGCGAGCUGGGUUUAGAACGUCGUGAGACAGUUCGGUCCCUAUCUGCCGUGGGCGUUGGAAGAUUGAAGGGGGCUGCUCCUAGUACGAGAGGACCGGAGUGGACGAACCUCUGGUGUUCGGGUUGUGUCGCCAGACGCAUUGCCCGGUAGCUAAGUUCGGAAUUGAUAAGCGCUGAAAGCAUCUAAGCGCGAAGCGAGCCCUGAGAUGAGUCUUCCCUGAUACUUUAAGUAUCCUAAAGGGUUGUUCGAGACUAGAACGUUGAU